Molecule: ribosomal RNA, 638 nt
Filed under: Bacillus sp. (in: firmicutes)
Lineage: Bacteria; Bacillati; Bacillota; Bacilli; Caryophanales; Bacillaceae
Description: bacterial SSU rRNA
Rfam family: Bacterial small subunit ribosomal RNA
Source: RNAcentral
UGGCGGCGUGCUAUACAUGCAGUCGAGCGAACCAUGGGAGCUUGCUCCCUGAGGUUAGCGGCGGACGGGUGAGUAACACGUGGGUAACCUGCCUGUAAGAUUGGGAUAACUCCGGGAAACCGGAGCUAAUACCGGAUAACAUUUUGAACCGCAUGGUUCGAAAUUGAAAGAUGGCUUCGGCUAUCACUUACAGAUGGACCCGCGGCGCAUUAGCUAGUUGGUGAGGUAACGGCUCACCAAGGCGACGAUGCGUAGCCGACCUGAGAGGGUGAUCGGCCACACUGGGACUGAGACACGGCCCAGACUCCUACGGGAGGCAGCAGUAGGGAAUCUUCCGCAAUGGACGAAAGUCUGACGGAGCAACGCCGCGUGAACGAUGAAGGCCUUCGGGUCGUAAAGUUCUGUUGUUAGGGAAGAACAAGUACCAGAGUAACUGCUGGUACCUUGACGGUACCUAACCAGAAAGCCACGGCUAACUACGUGCCAGCAGCCGCGGUAAUACGUAGGUGGCAAGCGUUGUCCGGAAUUAUUGGGCGUAAAGCGCGCGCAGGCGGUUUCUUAAGUCUGAUGUGAAAGCCCACGGCUCAACCGUGGAGGGUCAUUGGAAACUGGGAAACUUGAGUGCAGAAGAGGAGAGU